GAUGAACGCUGGCGGCGUGCCUAAUACAUGCAAGUCGAGCGAACAGACGAGGAGCUUGCUCCUCUGACGUUAGCGGCGGACGGGUGAGUAACACGUGGAUAACCUACCUAUAAGACUGGGAUAACUUCGGGAAACCGGAGCUAAUACCGGAUAAUAUAUUGAACCGCAUGGUUCAAUAGUGAAAGACGGUUUUGCUGUCACUUAUAGAUGGAUCCGCGCCGCAUUAGCUAGUUGGUAAGGUAACGGCUUACCAAGGCAACGAUGCGUAGCCGACCUGAGAGGGGGAACGGCCACACUGGAACGGAAACACGGUCCAGACUCCUACGGGAGGCAGCAGUAGGGAAUCUUCCGCAAUGGGCGAAAGCCUGACGGAGCAACGCCGCGGGAGUGAUGAAGGUCUUCGGAUCGUAAAACUCUGUUAUUAGGGAAGAACAAAUGUGUAAGUAACUAUGCACGUCUUGACGGUACCUAAUCAGAAAGCCACGGCUAACUACGUG
This 497-nucleotide ribosomal RNA is filed under the name uncultured bacterium. Its description in RNAcentral is "partial 16S ribosomal RNA". It matches the Rfam family "Bacterial small subunit ribosomal RNA", at positions 28 to 507 of the family's 1533-position model. The record is from RNAcentral.